This 90-nucleotide transfer RNA is filed under the name Ignavibacteria bacterium GWA2_55_11. RNAcentral's name for it is "tRNA-Ser". It matches the Rfam family "tRNA". From Rfam's summary of the family: Transfer RNA (tRNA) molecules are approximately 80 nucleotides in length. RNAcentral also lists the same sequence under 4 other names. The record is from RNAcentral. Lineage: Bacteria; Pseudomonadati; Ignavibacteriota; Ignavibacteria.
GGAAGGGUGCGAGAGUGGUUGAAUCGGCCGGUCUCGAAAACCGGAAUGCCCGCAAGGGUAUCGAGGGUUCGAAUCCCUCCCCUUCCGCCG